AUACUUAGCUUACAGGGGGUGAUUCCAUGAUCACAAAGGCAGUUACCACAGGGUGAAGCUUAUCCACUGCAUUCCAAAUGGGUUGACCCCUGUAAUUUCCCCAAAUGUGGGAAAUUAGAUUAUAUAAUUUGUGGUAGUAGGGGAUUAUGUUCCCACUCUCCUA
This is a small nuclear RNA of Gracilinanus agilis (Agile Gracile Mouse Opossum), 163 nucleotides long. RefSeq annotates it as U1 spliceosomal RNA. Lineage: Eukaryota; Metazoa; Chordata; Mammalia; Didelphimorphia; Didelphidae. The record is from RefSeq and is a predicted model, not a curated record. The transcript has a single exon.